AGCGAACGCUGGCGGCAGGCCUAACACAUGCAAGUCGAACGCCCCUUCGGGGGAGUGGCGGACGGGUGAGUAACGCGUGGGAACGUGCCCUUUGGUACGGAACAACUGAGGGAAACUUCAGCUAAUACCGUAUGUGCCCCCAUUCUUAGCGGGAUGGGUGGGAAAGAUUUAUCGCCAUUGGAGCGGCCCGCGUUGGAUUAGCUAGUUGGUGGGGUAAAGGCUCACCAAGGCUACGAUCCAUAGCNGGUCUGAGAGGAUGAUCAGCCACACUGGGACUGAGACACGGCCCAGACUCCUACGGGAGGCAGCAGUGGGGAAGUCUUGCGCAAUGGGCGAAAGCCUGACGCAGCCAUGCCGCGUGUAUGAUGAA
This 370-nucleotide ribosomal RNA is filed under the name uncultured bacterium. Its description in RNAcentral is "bacterial SSU rRNA". It matches the Rfam family "Bacterial small subunit ribosomal RNA", at positions 29 to 412 of the family's 1533-position model. The record is from RNAcentral.